UACGGAGGGGGCAAGCGUUGUUCGGAAUUACUGGGCGUAAAGCGCGCGUAGGCGGAUCUGCAAGUCGGGGGUGAAAUCCCGAGGCUCAACCUCGGAACUGCCUUCGAUACUGCGGGUCUCGAGUCCGGGAGAGGUGAGUGGAAUUCCUAGUGUAGAGGUGAAAUUCGUAGAUAUUAGGAAGAACACCAGUGGCGAAGGCGGCUCACUGGCCCGGUACUGACGCUGAGGCGCGAAAGCGUGGGGAGCAAACAGG
This 253-nucleotide ribosomal RNA is filed under the name uncultured bacterium. RNAcentral describes it as "partial 16S ribosomal RNA". It matches the Rfam family "Bacterial small subunit ribosomal RNA", at positions 524 to 776 of the family's 1533-position model. The record is from RNAcentral.